Terrapene triunguis (Three-toed box turtle) is the source of this 265-nucleotide long non-coding RNA. RefSeq lists it as uncharacterized. NCBI's taxonomy places the organism in Eukaryota, Metazoa, Chordata, Testudines, Emydidae. The transcript is spliced from 5 exons. The record is from RefSeq and is a predicted model, not a curated record.
CCGGGUCUGACCAGUCCCAUCAUCGCUGGAGGAAGUGCGGCAGCCGCUGCCCUCCUCCUCCUCCUCGUGGCCUUCGUCUGCUUCAGAAAAACCCGAGCCAGAAAAGGAGGCGCACUGAGACCGAGCAGCACCAGCCCCUUGGGGGUGUUGGAGGCCCCGGCUCAGCAAGACCCUAUCUACGCUUCCAUUGACGAAGUGAAAGAGACACAGACCCUCGAGCCCAACCCUGGCACCGACGGACUCACCUAUGCCUAGGGACCUGGGG